CCUACGGGAGGCAGCAGUGAGGAAUAUUGGUCAAUGGGCGGAAGCCUGAACCAGCCAAGUAGCGUGCGGGAUGAAGGCCCUACGGGUCGUAAACCGCUUUUGCACGGGGAUAACACCCUCCACUUGUGGAGGUCUGCAGGUACCGUGCGAAUAAGGGCCGGCUAAUUCCGUGCAAGCAGCCGCGGUAAUACGGAAGGCCCGAGCGUUAUCCGGAUUCAUUGGGCUUAAAGGGAGCGUAGGCGGGCGUUCAAGUCAGCGGUAAAAUCGCGCGGCUCAACCGCGCCCAGCAGUUGAAACUGGACGCAUUGAGUGCACAACAGGCAGGCGGAAUUCGGGGUGUAG
RNAcentral lists this ribosomal RNA (342 nucleotides) under uncultured bacterium. RNAcentral describes it as "partial 16S ribosomal RNA". It matches the Rfam family "Bacterial small subunit ribosomal RNA", at positions 338 to 678 of the family's 1533-position model. The record is from RNAcentral.